Molecule: microRNA precursor, 104 nt
Filed under: Bigelowiella natans CCMP2755
Lineage: Eukaryota; Cercozoa; Chlorarachniophyceae
Description: miRNA EPrBNAG00000013327
Source: RNAcentral
UGAUGAUGAUAACGAUCACGAUCGCGGUGAUGAGGAGAGAGAAAGUAUGAGGAAGGAGAAAUUUAUUACCAUUAUCUUCAUCAUCAUCAUCAUCAUCAUCAUCA